GACGAACGCUGGCGGCGUGCUUAACACAUGCAAGUCGAACGGAAAGGCCCCUUUGGGGGUCCUCGAGUGGCGAACGGGUGAGUAACACGUGAGUAACCUGCCCUUGACUUCGGGAUAACUUCAGGAAACUGGGGCUAAUACCGGAUAGGAAUCCUUGCUGCAUGGUGGGGGUUGGAAAGCUUCGGCGGUUUUGGAUGGACUCGCGGCUUAUCAGCUUGUUGGUGGGGUAGUGGCUUACCAAGGCUUUGACGGGUAGCCGGCCUGAGAGGGCGACCGGCCACAUUGGGACUGAGAUACGGCCCAGACUCCUACGGGAGGAAGCAGUGGGGAAUAUUGCACAAUGGGCGGAAGCCUGAUGCAGCAACGCCGCGGGCGGGAUGACGGCCUUCGGGUUGUAAACCGCUUUCAGCAGGGGCGAAGCUUGUGGUGACGGUACCUGCAGAAGAAGCACCGGCUAACUACGUG
RNAcentral lists this ribosomal RNA (465 nucleotides) under uncultured bacterium. RNAcentral describes it as "partial 16S ribosomal RNA". It matches the Rfam family "Bacterial small subunit ribosomal RNA", at positions 28 to 507 of the family's 1533-position model. The record is from RNAcentral.